AUUGAACGCUGGCGGCAGGCCUAACACAUGCAAGUCGAGCGGAUGAAGGGAGCUUGCUCCUGGAUUCAGCGGCGGACGGGUGAGUAAUGCCUAGGAAUCUGCCUGGUAGUGGGGGAUAACGUCCGGAAACGGGCGCUAAUACCGCAUACGUUCUGAGGGAGAAAGUGGGGGAUCUUCGGACCUCACGCUAUCAGAUGAGCCUAGGUCGGAUUAGCUAGUUGGUGGGGUAAAGGCCUACCAAGGCGACGAUCCGUAACUGGUCUGAGAGGAUGAUCAGUCACACUGGAACUGAGACACGGUCCAGACUCCUACGGGAGGCAGCAGUGGGGAAUAUUGGACAAUGGGUGAAAGCCUGAUCCAGCCAUGCCGCGUGUGUGAAGAAGGUCUUCGGAUUGUAAAGCACUUUAAGUUGGGAGGAAGGGCAGUAAGUUAAUACCUUGCUGUUUUGACGUUACCAACAGAAUAAGCACCGGCUAACUUCGUG
RNAcentral lists this ribosomal RNA (484 nucleotides) under uncultured bacterium. Its description in RNAcentral is "partial 16S ribosomal RNA". It matches the Rfam family "Bacterial small subunit ribosomal RNA", at positions 30 to 507 of the family's 1533-position model. The record is from RNAcentral.